This is a long non-coding RNA of Hydra vulgaris (swiftwater hydra), 600 nucleotides long. RefSeq lists it as uncharacterized. Lineage: Eukaryota; Metazoa; Cnidaria; Hydrozoa; Anthoathecata; Hydridae. The record is from RefSeq and is a predicted model, not a curated record.
UUUUUCGGUAUCUUCUUUUUAUUUGGUGCCCUUCGAAUAUAUGCCGCCCGGGACAAACUGUCCCUUCCCCUCUCCUUCCUCUCAGCGGCCUUGUUAACAGGUAUUGUCUUUUUCUGGAUAUAUCUGGAAUUCUUGAUAUUUUAUUCAACUUUUAGUUUUUUUGGAUUUCAAAAAAGUUUCCCAUAAAUACAAAAACAAGAAAUUUUAAAAAAAUUGAGAAAGCCAUUAGUUUAAAGUUAAAUUAGGGCAAGUAAAAGGGAAAUAAUCUAGGUCAUUUUCAAAAAAUUCUCCGGAUUUUUUGAAAAUGAUUUAGAUGAUCUCUGUAUUAACAAAGCAAUGAUAUAGAAUAUUAGCAUUAUAUCAUUUGCUUUAAUGUAGAACACGUUUUUCUGUUUUGAACAAACAUAAUAAGCUGUUAUUAAUUUCUAGAAUGGAAUGUUAAACUUUAGGAGUAAGCAGGUUGAUGAACCCUGGAUUUUCUUGACUCUACUUAUUGGUUUUUGCUCAAUUAACUCAACAAAAGCAAUGCAGAAAUAGAAUUAAUAAUGGAAUGUUUAUUUUCUUUAAAUUUUUUGAAAUAUUAAAUAAUUAAAUUCAAAA